GUGCUCACCUCAGUAGAACAUAUACUAAAAUUGAAAUGAUAUAGAGUAGAUGAGCAUGACUCCUUUGCAAAGAUGAUGUGCAAAUUUGUGAAGUGUUUUAUAUUUUU
Small nuclear RNA from Cynocephalus volans (Philippine flying lemur), 107 nucleotides. NCBI's taxonomy places the organism in Eukaryota, Metazoa, Chordata, Mammalia, Dermoptera, Cynocephalidae. The record is from RefSeq and is a predicted model, not a curated record.